AGAGUUUGAUCCUGGCUCAGGAUGAACGCUGGCGGCGUGCUUAACACAUGCAAGUCGAACGAACCUUCGGGUUAGUGGCGGACGGGUGAGUAACGCGUGGGAAUCUGCCCUCAGGAGGGGGAUAACGGCUGGAAACGGCCGCUAAUACCCCAUAUGCCGCGAGGUGAAAUGAAUUUCGCCUGAGGAUGAGCCCGCGUCUGAUUAGCUAGUUGGUGGGGUAAAGGCCUACCAAGGCGACGAUCAGUAGCUGGUCUGAGAGGAUGAUCAGCCACACUGGGACUGAGACACGGCCCAGACUCCUACGGGAGGCAGCAGUGGGGAAUUUUCCGCAAUGGGCGAAAGCCUGACGGAGCAACGCCGCGUGAGGGAUGAAGGCCUCUGGGCUGUAAACCCCUUUUCUCAAGGAAGAAGAUUUGACGGUACUUGAGGAAUAAGCCACGGCUAAUUCCGUGCCAGCAGCCGCGGUAAUACGGGAGUGGCAAGCGUUAUCCGGAAUUAUUGGGCGUAAAGCGUCCGCAGGCGGCCUUGUAAGUCUGUCGUUAAAGCGUGGAGCUCAACUCCAUUUCGGCGAUGGAAACUACAAGGCUUGAGUGUGGUAGGGGCAGAGGGAAUUCCCGGUGUAGCGGUGAAAUGCGUAGAUAUCGGGAAGAACACCAGUGGCGAAGGCGCUCUGCUGGGCCAUAACUGACGCUCAUGGACGAAAGCCAGGGGAGCGAAAGGGAUUAGAUACCCCUAUAGUCCUGGCCGUAAACGAUGAACACUAGGUGUCGGGGGAAUCGACCCCCUCGGUGUCGUAGCCAACGCGUUAAGUGUUCCGCCUGGGGAGUACGCACGCAAGUGUGAAACUCAAAGGAAUUGACGGGGGCCCGCACAAGCGGUGGAGUAUGUGGUUUAAUUCGAUGCAACGCGAAGAACCUUACCAGGGUUUGACAUCCUGCGAACCCCUGAGAAAUCGGGGGGUGCCUUCGGGAGCGCAGAGACAGGUGGUGCAUGGCUGUCGUCAGCUCGUGUCGUGAGAUGUUGGGUUAAGUCCCGCAACGAGCGCAACCCACGUCGUUAGUUGCCAGCAUUCAGUUGGGCACUCUAGCGAGACCGCCGGUGAUAAACCGGAGGAAGGUGUGGAUGACGUCAAGUCAUCAUGCCCCUUACAUCCUGGGCUACACACGUACUACAAUGCUACGGACAAAGGGCAGCAAGCUCGCGAGGGUUAGCAAAUCCCAUAAACCGUGGCUCAGUUCAGAUCGUAGGCUGCAACUCGCCUACGUGAAGGAGGAAUCGCUAGUAAUCGCAGGUCAGCAUACUGCGGUGAAUACGUUCCCGGGCCUUGUACACACCGCCCGUCACACCAUGGAAGUUGGCCACGCCCGAAGUCGUUACUCCAACCCUUGUGGAGGAGGACGCCGAAGGUGGGGCUGAUGACUGGGAUGAAGUCGUAACAAGGUAACC
This 1446-nucleotide ribosomal RNA is filed under the name uncultured bacterium. RNAcentral describes it as "bacterial SSU rRNA". It matches the Rfam family "Bacterial small subunit ribosomal RNA". The record is from RNAcentral.